GGUUAAGUUAGAAAGGGCGCACGGUGGAUGCCUUGACACUAGGAGUCGAUGAAGGACGGGACUAACGCCGAUAUGCUUCGGGGAGCUGUAAGUAAGCUUUGAUCCGAAGAUUUCCGAAUGGGGAAACCCACCAUACGUAAUGGUAUGGUAUCCUUAUCUGAAUACAUAGGGUAAGGAAGACAGACCCAGGGAACUGAAACAUCUAAGUACCUGGAGGAAGAGAAAGCAAAUGCGAUUUCCUGAGUAGCGGCGAGCGAAACGGAACAUAGCCCAAACCAAGAGGCUUGCCUCUUGGGGUUGUAGGACAUUCUAUACGGAGUUACAAAGGAACGAGGUAGACGAAGCGACCUGGAAAGGUCCGUCGUAGAGGGUAACAACCCCGUAGUCGAAACUUCGUUCUCUCUUGAAUGUAUCCUGAGUACGGCGGAACACGUGAAAUUCCGUCGGAAUCUGGGAGGACCAUCUCCCAAGGCUAAAUACUCCCUAGUGAUCGAUAGUGAACCAGUACCGUGAGGGAAAGGUGAAAAGCACCCCGGAAGGGGAGUGAAAGAGAUCCUGAAACCGUGUGCCUACAAAUAGUCAGAGCCCGUUAACGGGUGAUGGCGUGCCUUUUGUAGAAUGAACCGGCGAGUUACGAUCCCGUGCGAGGUUAAGCUGAAGAGGCGGAGCCGCAGCGAAAGCGAGUCUGAAUAGGGCGUUUAGUACGUGGUCGUAGACCCGAAACCAGGUGAUCUACCCAUGUCCAGGGUGAAGUUCAGGUAACACUGAAUGGAGGCCCGAACCCACGCACGUUGAAAAGUGCGGGGAUGAGGUGUGGGUAGCGGAGAAAUUCCAAUCGAACCUGGAGAUAGCUGGUUCUCCCCGAAAUAGCUUUAGGGCUAGCCUUAAGUGUAAGAGUCUUGGAGGUAGAGCACUGAUUGGACUAGGGGUCCUCAUCGGAUUACCGAAUUCAGUCAAACUCCGAAUGCCAAUGACUUAUCCUUAGGAGUCAGACUGCGAGUGAUAAGAUCCGUAGUCAAAAGGGAAACAGCCCAGACCGCCAGCUAAGGUCCCAAAGUGUGUAUUAAGUGGAAAAGGAUGUGGAGUUGCUUAGACAACUAGGAUGUUGGCUUAGAAGCAGCCACCAUUUAAAGAGUGCGUAAUAGCUCACUAGUCGAGUGACUCUGCGCCGAAAAUGUACCGGGGCUAAAUACACCACCGAAGCUGCGGAUUGAUACCAAUGGUAUCAGUGGUAGGGGAGCGUUCUAAGGACAGUGAAGUCAGACCGGAAGGACUGGUGGAGUGCUUAGAAGUGAGAAUGCCGGUAUGAGUAGCGAAAGACGGGUGAGAAUCCCGUCCACCGAAUGCCUAAGGUUUCCUGAGGAAGGCUCGUCCGCUCAGGGUUAGUCAGGACCUAAGCCGAGGCCGUACAGGCGUAGGCGAUGGACAACAGGUUGAUAUUCCUGUACCACCUCUUUAUCGUUUGAGCAAUGGAGGGACGCAGAAGGAUAGAAGAAGCGUGCGAUUGGUUGUGCACGUCCAAGCAGUUAGGCUGAUAAGUAGGCAAAUCCGCUUAUCGUGAAGGCUGAGCUGUGAUGGGGAAGCUCCUUAUGGAGCGAAGUCUUUGAUUCCCCGCUGCCAAGAAAAGCUUCUAGCGAGAUAAAAGGUGCCUGUACCGCAAACCGACACAGGUAGGCGAGGAGAGAAUCCUAAGGUGUGCGAGAGAACUCUGGUUAAGGAACUCGGCAAAAUGACCCCGUAACUUCGGGAGAAGGGGUGCUUUCUUAACGGAAAGCCGCAGUGAAUAGGCCCAAGCGACUGUUUAGCAAAAACACAGCUCUCUGCGAAGCCGUAAGGCGAAGUAUAGGGGGUGACACCUGCCCGGUGCUGGAAGGUUAAGGAGAGGGGUUAGCGUAAGCGAAGCUCUGAACUGAAGCCCCAGUAAACGGCGGCCGUAACUAUAACGGUCCUAAGGUAGCGAAAUUCCUUGUCGGGUAAGUUCCGACCCGCACGAAAGGUGUAACGAUUUGGGCACUGUCUCAACCAGAGACUCGGUGAAAUUAUAGUACCUGUGAAGAUGCAGGUUACCCGCGACAGGACGGAAAGACCCCGUGGAGCUUUACUGUAGCCUGAUAUUGAAUUUUGGUACAGUUUGUACAGGAUAGGCGGGAGCCUUUGAAACCGGAGCGCUAGCUUCGGUGGAGGCGCUGGUGGGAUACCGCCCUGACUGUAUUGAAAUUCUAACCUACGGGUCUUAUCGACCCGGGAGACAGUGUCAGGUGGGCAGUUUGACUGGGGCGGUCGCCUCCUAAAGUGUAACGGAGGCGCCCAAAGGUUCCCUCAGAAUGGUUGGAAAUCAUUCGUAGAGUGCAAAGGCAUAAGGGAGCUUGACUGCGAGACCUACAAGUCGAGCAGGGACGAAAGUCGGGCUUAGUGAUCCGGUGGUUCCGCAUGGAAGGGCCAUCGCUCAACGGAUAAAAGCUACCCCGGGGAUAACAGGCUUAUCUCCCCCAAGAGUCCACAUCGACGGGGAGGUUUGGCACCUCGAUGUCGGCUCAUCGCAUCCUGGGGCUGUAGUCGGUCCCAAGGGUUGGGCUGUUCGCCCAUUAAAGCGGUACGCGAGCUGGGUUCAGAACGUCGUGAGACAGUUCGGUCCCUAUCCGUCGUGGGCGUAGGAAAUUUGAGAGGAGCUGUCCUUAGUACGAGAGGACCGGGAUGGACGCACCGCUGGUGUACCAGUUGUUCUGCCAAGGGCAUAGCUGGGUAGCUAUGUGCGGAAGGGAUAAGUGCUGAAAGCAUCUAAGCAUGAAGCCCCCCUCAAGAUGAGAUUUCCCAUAGCGUAAGCUAGUAAGAUCCCUGAAAGAUGAUCAGGUUGAUAGGUUCGAGGUGGAAGCAUGGUGACAUGUGGAGCUGACGAAUACUAAUAGAUCGAGGACUUAACCAUAUA
This 2926-nucleotide ribosomal RNA is filed under the name Bacillus cereus FRI-35. RNAcentral's name for it is "bacterial LSU rRNA". It matches the Rfam family "Bacterial large subunit ribosomal RNA". The record is from RNAcentral. Lineage: Bacteria; Bacillati; Bacillota; Bacilli; Caryophanales; Bacillaceae.